This 455-nucleotide ribosomal RNA is filed under the name uncultured bacterium. RNAcentral describes it as "bacterial SSU rRNA". It matches the Rfam family "Bacterial small subunit ribosomal RNA", at positions 338 to 795 of the family's 1533-position model. The record is from RNAcentral.
CCUACGGGGGGCAGCAGUGAGGAAUAUUGCGCAAUGGGCGAAAGCCUGACGCAGCGACGCCGCGUGGGGGAUGAAGGUCUUCGGAUUGUAAACCCCUUUCGGGAGGGAAGAUGGGACGGGCAACCGUUCGGACGGUACCUCCAGAAGCAGCCACGGCUAACUUCGUGCCAGCAGCCGCGGUAAUACGAAGGUGGCAAGCGUUGUUCGGAUUUACUGGGCGUACAGGGAGCGUAGGCGGUUAGGUAAGCCCUUCGGGAAAUCUCCCGGCUUAACCGGGAAAGGUCGGAGGGGACUGCCUGGCUAGAGGACGGGAGAGGAGCGCGGAAUUCCCGGUGUAGCGGUGAAAUGCGUAGAGAUCGGGAGGAAGGCCGGUGGCGAAGGCGGCGCUCUGGAACGAUCCUGACGCUGAGGCUCGAAAGCGUGGGGAGCAAACAGGAUUAGAUACCCCAGUAGUC